Molecule: unclassified non-coding RNA, 400 nt
Filed under: soil metagenome
Description: partial contains 5.8S ribosomal RNA, internal transcribed spacer 2, and large subunit ribosomal RNA
Rfam family: 5.8S ribosomal RNA (bases 1-122)
Source: RNAcentral
GAUGAAGAACGUAGCGAAAUGCGAUACUUGGUGUGAAUUGCAGAAUCCCGUGAACCAUCGAGUCUUUGAACGCAAGUUGCGCCUCAAGCCAUUAGGUUGAGGGCACGUCUGCCUGGGCGUCACAUAUCGUUGCCUGAUGCCAGUUUCCUCGUGAUGGGUGACUGUGCAGGGCGAAUGAUGGCUUCCCGUGAGCAUUGUUGCCUCAUGGUUGGUUGAAAAUUGAGUCCUUGGUAGGGAGCGCCGUGAUAGAUGGUGGUUGAGUGACGAACGAGACCCAAUCAUGUGAGACCCCUACCGAAUUUGGCCUUCAUGACCCACAUGCGUCUUUGGAACGCUCAUGACGAGACCUCAGGUCAGGCGGGGCUACCCGCUGAGUUUAAGUAUAUCAAUAAGCGGAGGA